This 484-nucleotide ribosomal RNA is filed under the name uncultured bacterium. Its description in RNAcentral is "partial 16S ribosomal RNA". It matches the Rfam family "Bacterial small subunit ribosomal RNA", at positions 28 to 507 of the family's 1533-position model. The record is from RNAcentral.
AUUGAACGCUGGCGGCAUGCUUUACACAUGCAAGUCGAACGGCGGCGCGGGCUUCGGCCUGGCGGCGAGUGGCGAACGGGUGAGUAAUGCAUCGGAACGUGCCCAGUAGUGGGGGAUAGCCCGGCGAAAGCCGGAUUAAUACCGCAUACGACCUGAGGGUGCAAGCGGGGGACCGAAAGGCCUCGCGCUAUUGGAGCGGCCGAUGUCGGAUUAGCUAGUUGGUGGGGUAAAGGCUUACCAAGGCGACGAUCCGUAGCUGGUCUGAGAGGACGACCAGCCACACGGGGACUGAGACACGGCCCAGACUCCUACGGGAGGCAGCAGUGGGGAAUUUUGGACAAUGGGGGCAACCCUGAUCCAGCCAUGCCGCGUGCGGGAAGAAGGCCUUCGGGUUGUAAACCGCUUUUGUUCGGGAAGAAAUCCUCUGGGCUAAUACCCCGGGGGGAUGACGGUACCGGAAGAAUAAGCACCGGCUAACUACGUG